Molecule: ribosomal RNA, 200 nt
Filed under: uncultured bacterium
Lineage: Bacteria
Description: partial 16S ribosomal RNA
Rfam family: Bacterial small subunit ribosomal RNA
Source: RNAcentral
GAUGAGCGCUAGCGGCAGGCUUAACACAUGCAAGCCGAGCGGUAGAAGAUCUUCGGAUCUUUGAGAGCGGCGUACGGGUGCGGAACACGUGUGCAACCUGCCUUUAUCAGGGGGAUAGCCUUUCGAAAGGAAGAUUAAUACCCCAUAAUAUAUUGAUUGGCAUCAAUUAAUAUUGAAAACUCCGGUGGAUAGAGAUGGGC